RNA transcript from Zea mays, 1795 nucleotides. It is a transcript of the gene named homogentisate geranylgeranyltransferase, chloroplastic, with no coding region annotated. Lineage: Eukaryota; Viridiplantae; Streptophyta; Magnoliopsida; Poales; Poaceae. The transcript is spliced from 13 exons. The record is from RefSeq and is a predicted model, not a curated record.
GUCGGCCUCGCUACUUUCCUAAGUGGAAAAAGGGUUCUCUCAGGCCAUUUCCUUGAGCCGUUCCGCUGCCAUUCGACCACCACCGCCACGGCGGCGCCGAUGCCGACUACAACCACUCGCAGAGACUACCGCCUCCAGCCCCGCUGCUUCUCAUCUCCACGCAGCCGUCCGAUGGCCAAGCGGCUCGCCGGUGCCGACAAAGAGGUGCUCGUCGAGGUGGUGAGGUUCACGCAUAAGAGCGGACUGAGGGGCUGUGACGGCGGCUGGAAGGAUUUCCUGGCCCAGAACGACAGGAAGUUUGGCGCGUCGGUGAGCGACCCGAGGAAGCGCUCCAGGGACGUGCUGUUCGCCUUCCUGCAGACCUUCCCCAAGGAUUUCCAGAAGGUUGGUCACUCUUUUGCUUCUUCAGACUUCAGUUCAGCAUGCCCGGUUUCACUGCCAGCUAUAGUGGUCGAAACACUUGAUGCCACUAGUCCGACGAGAGCCACCGGAAGACAACGCAGGCAUUCCUCAGUCCCCAAAGUGAGCUGCUGGGCAGCUGCUCAUCACCAACACAAUUCUAACCCCCAGCAGUUUCAGGCGAUUGGCAUACGAAUCGCAAAGACGCUGCAUGCCUUCUAUCAGUUCUGCCGACCACACACAAUAUUUGGAACCAUAAUAGGCAUUACUUCGGUGUCUAUCCUGCCAGUGAAAGAGCCUGGACGAUUUUACGUUGAUAGCUAUAUGGGGAUUUCUCGAGGCUUUGGCCGCCGCAUUAUGUAUGAACGUUUAUGUAGUAGGGCUGAACAAGAUAACCUUUUGAAGGUCAAUAAGCCAACCCUCCCAUUAGCGUUCGGAGAGUUUUCAAUGCCAACUGCAGUAUUGUUAGUAGUGGCAUUCUUGGUCAUGAGCAUUAGCAUCGGAAUAAGAUCAAAGUCUGCUCCAUUGAUGUGUGCUUUGCUUGUUUGCUUCCUUCUUGGAAGCGCAUACUCCAUUGACGUUCCAUUACUCCGGUGGAAGCGACAUGCUUUUCUAGCUGCAUUCUGCAUAAUCUUUGUGAGGGCUGUAGUGGUCCAGUUAGCUUUCUUUGCACACAUGCAGCAACAUGUUCUGAAGAGGCCCUUGGCACCUACAAGGUCGGUGGUCUUUGCAACAUGUUUCAUGUGUUGCUUCGCUGCAGUAAUAGCGCUAUUCAAGGAUAUUCCUGAUGUCGAUGGAGAUAGAGAUUUCGGCAUUCAGUCCAUGACUGUACGAUUAGGCCCAACAGAGAGUGCAUAGGCUCUGCAUUAAUAUUCUCAUGACAGCAUACGCAGCCGCAAUUUUGGUAGGCGCGUCAUCUACGAACCUGUAUCAGAAGAUUGUCAUUGUGUCUGGUCAUGGCUUGCUUGCCUCCACACUCUGGCAAAGAGCACAACAAUUUGACAUUGAGAAUAAGGAUUGUAUCACACAAUUUUAUAUGUUCAUUUGGAAGUUAUUCUACGCCGAGUAUUUUCUUAUACCAUUUGUGUAGUAAAGAAUCAUGCGAAGAACAACACCCCUGCUAUAGACAUGUGAAGGUUUAUUGCUAAUGUUACUCUACCCCCUGCUAUAGACAUGUGAAGGUUUAUUGCUAAUGUUACUCUACCGAAUGGUCUGAAUGUCUAUGCGUCAUUUGAAUGUAAUAUGACUAUUUGUUGUAUCAGGGUAACAACUGGAGCAAAUGUACCAUGUAUAUUAAGCAUUAAUUUAACUGCAUCAUUUGUACCAUGUAUAUUAUGACUAUGUAUGAGAUAUUGUCUCUUAUUAGUACUGGAUGUGAUGUGUCUUAUUAUGACUA